AUGGAGGGUCCUUACUUUCCCGUUGGCCGGCCUAGAAGGGGCUUAUGUAAUGGUGUGAUCAAUUACCACUGCUUCAAGGUUGAUAUGUUUGUGGGUGUCAUUGAUAGGCAAAUCAGUGAGCUGAAUGGCAGAUUUGAUGAGGUAAACACGGAGCUACUUUCUUGCAUGGCAGCAUUCUGUCCACUUCAUCUAUUUGCUGCUUAUGACCAAGAUAAGUUGGUUAGGCUUGCUACAAAGUCUUAUGCUUCUGAUUUUACAAGUGAUGAACUGGCAAGACUUUCAUGGCAACUAAACAUGUAUGUUAUUAAUGUGCGUAGAGAUGAAAGGUUUCAAAACCUGAAAAAUCUGUGUCAGCUUUCAGUUAUGCUUGUUGAGACAAACAAGCAUGAACAAUAUCAUAUUUUUUACAAGCUUCUUAAGUUGGUAUUGAUUCUGCCAGUAGCUACUGCUAGUGUUGAAAGGAUGUUCUCUUCAAUGAGCCAUGUGAAGAAUAAGCUAAGGAACAGAAUGGGUGAUGAAUAUUUGAACAAUUGUUUGGUUACAUUUGUUGAGAGAGAAUUUUUCAAUCAAGUGAAGGAUGAAGAUAUCAUCAAUCUCUUCCAAAAAGGCGACCGCAAAGUUAUAUUGUAA
Molecule: ribosomal RNA, 630 nt
Filed under: Triticum aestivum (bread wheat)
Lineage: Eukaryota; Viridiplantae; Streptophyta; Magnoliopsida; Poales; Poaceae
Description: partial small subunit ribosomal RNA
Source: RNAcentral